RNAcentral lists this non-coding RNA (45 nucleotides) under Gallibacterium salpingitidis. Its description in RNAcentral is "PreQ1-I sequence". It matches the Rfam family "PreQ1 (pre queuosine) riboswitch aptamer". Rfam says of the family: This family is a bacterial riboswitch that binds to the metabolite preQ1, an intermediate in the biosynthesis of the modified nucleoside queuosine from GTP. One example of this riboswitch is located in the leader of the Bacillus subtilis ykvJKLM (queCDEF) operon which encodes four genes necessary for queuosine production. Lineage: Bacteria; Pseudomonadati; Pseudomonadota; Gammaproteobacteria; Pasteurellales; Pasteurellaceae. The record is from Rfam by way of RNAcentral.
AUUGUCGUGGUUCGCAAACCUCCCACGUUAAAAAACUAGGAACAU